Molecule: long non-coding RNA, 1176 nt
Filed under: Amborella trichopoda
Lineage: Eukaryota; Viridiplantae; Streptophyta; Magnoliopsida; Amborellales; Amborellaceae
Description: long non-coding RNA (ATRI_LNC002298)
Source: RNAcentral
UCGAAAAGAGAUUUUUUGAACAUGCACCUCGACACUGGCAACUUGCCACCUAAAAUGCAAUUCAAAAAGCUCUCUCUCUCCUUUCUUUCGCUGAAACUAUCUCUUUCUCUCUCAUCCCGCCCAAACAUUCUCUCUCUUCCAGUAUUCGUGCUCUCUCACUCUCGCAGUAAAAAUCAGGUUCUCUCCCUCUGCAAAAACCAGGCUCUUUCCCAUCUCAAAAAAACCUAUAGAGCAAUGGAUUACUAUUUGAUAUCUUAAUUGCCUGAAAUUUCGAGCACCCGUCUUCCUCAGUUAUUUAUUUAUUUUAUUUUAUUCUGUCCAUCUUUGUCCGACGAUAUAAACACCGAACAUAGAAGGUUAUUAUUUGCAGAGAGAGUAGACCCCAAUCAAUUGAAAGAUAAACACGACACAGUCGAAGUUAGGUCCUUGUGGUGAGAUUUCAAUACCCAAGUACCCGUUUCUCACUCUAAACCCCAUACCUUCCAACAAUUCUUCGGUGUUUCUCUCUCUGAAACCCGUAUCCCCCAUCCACUCUCCAACCUUUUCUCUUAUCGAAGGUAGCUCAAUAAUCAAACCCAAGUGGUCAUUUCUCAGUUUUAAAGCCCAAUCUCUUGAUUCUUUGAGGAAAUUUGUGUUAAAGAUAGCUUUUUCAGUCGAAGUUCUUUAACCAACAGUUUCUCUCUCUAAAAGCACAACCAUUUUUGGUUCUAUGGUGGUCAUGGAGGAAGAUUCUUGUAAACCAAACCUAGUUUUGAACUUGGGUUCAGGUUUCUACGAGUUGCAGAUGAGAGAAGAUAGCAAGGGCGGAGAAGGCAAAGGAAAAGAAGAAGAGGUUUAGGGCAACACAAGGAAGAGGCUGAGGCUCCCCUGGUUUAACUCAAACAACCAUGCUCUCUCUCUCUCUAACAAAACCCAUCUCUCCCUCUCUCUGUUCUGCUGAUUAUUGUUGUAUUCCUUUAAUUUGAGCAUUGCUGUAUCCCUUUAAUGCUCAUCUGAUUAUAAUUUUCCUAUCUUCUAGCUAUUCUUAUUGCUUAGGUGUAUCAAUAUUGUCAAAAUCAGACAUCCUUGUUCAAUGCUUGCAUUAUUUUCCUUCAUUUUUUGUUACUGUAGAGAGUGCAUUUACACCACUCCUUGACAUUAAUGCCUUUCUAUGUUGAUUUUCCAUUAAGGUGAGAU